GACGAACGCUGGCGGCGUGCUUAACACAUGCAAGUCGAACGGAAAGGCCAUGCUCUUGUGGGGUGCUCGAGUGGCGAACGGGGGAGUAACACGUGAGUAACCCGCCCUUGUAUGUGGGAUAAAUUCAGGGAACAGGGGCUAAUACAGGAUAGGAUCUACUGCAGCACGGGGGGGGUUGGAGAGUUACGGCGGUGUUGGCUGGUCUCGCGGCUUAUCAGCUUGUUGGUGGGGUAGUGGCUGACCAAGGCUUUGACGGGUAGCCGGCCUUGGAGAGUGAACGGGCACAUUGGGCCUGCGGUACGCAGCAGUCUCGUAUGGUCGGCAGCAGUGGGGAACAUUGCACAAUGGGGGCAAGCCUGUUGCGACGACGUUCGGUUCGUAAUGCCGGGUUACGGGUGGUAAACCGCUGUCGAAUGUACCGAAGCGUGAGUGACGGUAAUGGGUAAAGAAGCACCGGCUAACUACGCG
This 468-nucleotide ribosomal RNA is filed under the name uncultured bacterium. RNAcentral describes it as "partial 16S ribosomal RNA". It matches the Rfam family "Bacterial small subunit ribosomal RNA", at positions 28 to 507 of the family's 1533-position model. The record is from RNAcentral.